ACGAAGGCUGUGUGUAGCCAAAAGGAUUAGAUACCCAAGUAGUCUCAGCAGAAAAUGAUGAAUGUCAUAGGAUAGAUUAAUUUUUGUACUAUAAAUGAAAGUGUAAGCAUUCCACCUUAAGAGUAAUUUGGCAACAUUGGAACUGAAAUCAUUAGACCGUUUCUGAAACAAGUAUUGAAGUAUGUUGUUUAAUUUGAUGGUCCGCAAAAAACCUUACCACAAUUUGAAUAUAAAUUCUUGAUACAAGCGCUGCACGGUUGUCUUCAGUUAAUGUCGUGAGAUUGUGGUUAGUUCCAUUAAAUUAACGUAAACCCUUACUUUAUUUUCAUAUAGAGUUGUUCACCGCUAGAUUGGUUGUGAUAACAGGGACUAAGACAAGUCAUCAUGGCCUGAAUAUUG
This 399-nucleotide ribosomal RNA is filed under the name Pseudothelomma ocellatum. RNAcentral's name for it is "mitochondrial SSU rRNA". It matches the Rfam family "Bacterial small subunit ribosomal RNA", at positions 753 to 1209 of the family's 1533-position model. Lineage: Eukaryota; Fungi; Ascomycota; Lecanoromycetes; Caliciales; Caliciaceae. The record is from RNAcentral.